GACGAACGCUGGCGGCGUGCCUAAUACAUGCAAGUCGAACGCACUCUCGUUUAGAUUGAAGGAGUUUGCUCCUGAUUGAUAAACAUUUGAGUGAGUGGCGGACGGGUGAGUAACACGUGGGUAACCUGCCCUAAAGUGGGGGAUAACAUUUGGAAACAGAUGCUAAUACCGCAUAAAACCUAACACCGCAUGGUGUAGGGUUGAAAGAUGGUUUCGGCUAUCACUUUAGGAUGGACCCGCGGUGCAUUAGUUAGUUGGUGAGGUAAAGGCUCACCAAGACCGUGAUGCAUAGCCGACCUGAGAGGGUAAUCGGCCACACUGGGACUGAGACACGGCCCAGACUCCUACGGGAGGCAGCAGUAGGGAAUCUUCCACAAUGGACGAAAGUCUGAUGGAGCAACGCCGCGUGAGUGAAGAAGGUUUUCGGAUCGUAAAACUCUGUUGUUGGAGAAGAAUGUAUCUGAUAGUAACUGAUCAGGUAGUGACGGUAUCCAACCAGAGAGCCACGGCUAACUACGUG
Molecule: ribosomal RNA, 520 nt
Filed under: uncultured bacterium
Lineage: Bacteria
Description: partial 16S ribosomal RNA
Rfam family: Bacterial small subunit ribosomal RNA
Source: RNAcentral